This 62-nucleotide transfer RNA is filed under the name Sabella spallanzanii. RNAcentral's name for it is "tRNA-His". It matches the Rfam family "tRNA". From Rfam's summary of the family: Transfer RNA (tRNA) molecules are approximately 80 nucleotides in length. Their secondary structure includes four short double-helical elements and three loops (D, anti-codon, and T loops). Further hydrogen bonds mediate the characteristic L-shaped molecular structure. tRNAs have two regions of fundamental functional importance: the anti-codon, which is responsible for specific mRNA codon recognition, and the 3' end, to which the tRNAs corresponding amino acid is attached (by aminoacyl-tRNA synthetases). tRNAs cope with the degeneracy of the genetic code in two manners: having more than one tRNA (with a specific anti-codon) for a particular amino acid; and 'wobble' base-pairing, i.e. permitting non-standard base-pairing at the 3rd anti-codon position. The record is from RNAcentral. Lineage: Eukaryota; Metazoa; Annelida; Polychaeta; Sabellida; Sabellidae.
AUUAAAGUAGUUUAAGUAAAACAUUAGCCUGUGGAGCUAAAAAUGGGAUUACCCCUUUAAUC